RNAcentral lists this ribosomal RNA (326 nucleotides) under uncultured eukaryote. RNAcentral's name for it is "partial 18S ribosomal RNA". It matches the Rfam family "Eukaryotic small subunit ribosomal RNA", at positions 1470 to 1795 of the family's 1831-position model. The record is from RNAcentral.
CCCUUAGAUGUUCUGGGCCGCACGCGCGCUACACUGACGGAUUCAACGAGCUUACAACCUUGGCCGAAAGGUCUGGGUAAUCUCCAAAAUCCGUCGUGAUGGGGAUAGAUUAUUGCAAUUAUUAAUCUUCAACGAGGAAUGCCUAGUAAGCGCAAGUCAUCAGCUUGCGUUGAUUACGUCCCUGCCCUUUGUACACACCGCCCGUCGCUCCUACCGAUUGAAUGGUCCGGUGAAGCGUUUGGACUAUGGUUUUCUGAUGGUCCGCCGUUGGAUUACCGUGGGAAGUUCGUUAAACCUUAUCAUUUAGAGGAAGGAGAAGUCGUAAC